GCGUACCUUUUGUAUAAUGGGUCAGCGACUUAUAUUCUGUAGCAAGGUUAACCGAAUAGGGGAGCCGGAGGGAAACCGAGUCUUAACCGGGCGUUAAGUUGCAGGGUAUAGACCCGAAACCCGGUGAUCUAGCCAUGGGCAGGUUGAAGGUUGGGUAACACUAACUGGAGGACCGAACCGACUAAUGUUGAAAAAUUAGCGGAUGACCUGUGGCUGGGGGUGAAAGGCCAAUCAAACCGGGAGAUAGCUGGUUCUCCCCGAAAGCUAUUUAGGUAGCGCCUCGUGAAUUCAUCUCCGGGGGUAGAGCACUGUUUCGGCUAGGGGGCCAUCCCGGCUUACCAACCCGAUGCAAACUGCGAAUACCGGAGAAUGUUAUCACGGGAGACACACGGCGGGUGCUAACGUCCGUCGUGAAGAGGGAAACAACCCAGACCGCCAGCUAAGGUCCCAAAGUCAUGGUUAAGUGGGAAACGAUGUGGGAAGGCCCAGACAGCCAGGAUGUUGGCUUAGAAGCAGCCAUCAUUUAAAGAAAGCGUAAUAGCUCACUGGUCGAGUCGGCCUGCGCGGAAGAUGUAACGGGGCUAAACCAUGCACCGAAGCUGCGGCAGCGACGCUUAUGCGU
This 622-nucleotide ribosomal RNA is filed under the name Salmonella enterica. Its description in RNAcentral is "partial 23S ribosomal RNA". It matches the Rfam family "Bacterial large subunit ribosomal RNA", at positions 599 to 1221 of the family's 2925-position model. Lineage: Bacteria; Pseudomonadati; Pseudomonadota; Gammaproteobacteria; Enterobacterales; Enterobacteriaceae. RNAcentral also lists the same sequence under 1 other name. The record is from RNAcentral.